GGGUUGGUGGAAGGCUGGUUAAACAGUUUGGUUUUCGACCACUACGACCCGGGUUCGAUUCCCGCAUUGGACA
Non-coding RNA from Cordylochernes scorpioides, 73 nucleotides. NCBI's taxonomy places the organism in Eukaryota, Metazoa, Arthropoda, Arachnida, Pseudoscorpiones, Chernetidae. The record is from the annotation of a GenBank genome assembly.